CCUACGGGAGACAGCAGUAGGGAAUAUUGCUCAAUGGGGGAAACCCUGAAGCAGCAACGCCGCGUGGAGGAUGAAGGUUUUAGGAUUGUAAAACCCUUUUGGUAGAGAAGAGAAUGACGGUAGCUAAGGAAUAAGCACCGGCUAACGCCGUGACAGCAGCCGCGGGAAUACGGAGGGUGCAAGCGUUAAUCGGAAUCACUGGACGUAAAGGGCGCGUAGGGGGGAUUGGAAGUCAGAUGUGAAAUCCUAUGGCUUAACGAUAGAACUGCAUUUGAAACUGUUAUUCUAGCGUAUGGGAGGGGUAGGUGGACUUCUUGGUGUAGCGGUUAAAUCCUUAGAGAUCACG
RNAcentral lists this ribosomal RNA (346 nucleotides) under uncultured bacterium. Its description in RNAcentral is "partial 16S ribosomal RNA". It matches the Rfam family "Bacterial small subunit ribosomal RNA", at positions 338 to 701 of the family's 1533-position model. The record is from RNAcentral.